RNAcentral lists this ribosomal RNA (424 nucleotides) under uncultured prokaryote. RNAcentral describes it as "bacterial SSU rRNA". It matches the Rfam family "Bacterial small subunit ribosomal RNA", at positions 355 to 796 of the family's 1533-position model. The record is from RNAcentral.
UUAGGAAUAUUGGACAAUGGGCGCAAGCCUGAUCCAGCCAUGCCGCGUGAGUGACGACGGCCUUAGGGUUGUAAAGCUCUUUCAGAUGCGAAGAUAAUGACGGUAACAUCAGAAGAAGCCCCGGCUAAAUUCGUGCCAGCAGCCGCGGUAAUACGAAUGGGGCAAGCGUUGUUCGGAAUCACUGGGCGUAAAGCGUACGUAGGCGGCUUUUCAAGUCAGGAGUGAAAUCCUGGGGCUCAACCCCAGAACUGCUCUUGAAACUGGAUCGCUAGAGUCCCGGAGAGGUUGGCGGAAUUCCGAGUGUAGAGGUGAAAUUCGCAGAUAUUCGGAGGAACACCAGUGGCGUAGGCGGCCAACUGGACGGGAACUGACGCUGAGGUACGAAAGCGUGGGGAGCAAACAGGAUUAGAUACCCCCGUAGUCC